This 440-nucleotide ribosomal RNA is filed under the name uncultured bacterium. RNAcentral's name for it is "partial 16S ribosomal RNA". It matches the Rfam family "Bacterial small subunit ribosomal RNA", at positions 338 to 795 of the family's 1533-position model. The record is from RNAcentral.
CCUACGGGUGGCAGCAGUGGGGAAUAUUGCACAAUGGGGGAAACCCUGAUGCAGCAACGCCGCGUGAGUGAAGAAGUAUUUCGAUAUGUAAAGCUCUAUCAGCAGGGAAGAAGAUGACGGUACCUGAGUAAGAAGCCCCGGCUAACUACGUGCCAGCAGCCGCGGUAAUACGUAGGGGGCAAGCGUUAUCCGGAUUUACUGGGUGUAAAGCGCUCGUAGGCGGUAUGUCAAGUCAAGGGUGAAAUCCCCGCGCUCAACGUGGGAACUGCCUUUGAAACUGGCAAACUGGAGUGUGUGAGAGGAUAGUGGAAUUCCAGGUGUUGGAGUGAAAUCCGUAGAUAUCUGGAGGAACAUCAGUGGCGAAGGCGACUAUCUGGCACAUAACUGACGCUGAGGAGCGAAAGCGUGGGUAGCAAACAGGAUUAGAUACCCUAGUAGUC